UGUGAACUUGAACAAAAGGAUUUUGCAC
Molecule: non-coding RNA, 28 nt
Filed under: Homo sapiens (human)
Lineage: Eukaryota; Metazoa; Chordata; Mammalia; Primates; Hominidae
Source: RNAcentral